This 3653-nucleotide long non-coding RNA is filed under the name Salvia miltiorrhiza (redroot sage). Its description in RNAcentral is "long non-coding RNA (SMIL_LNC004879)". The record is from RNAcentral. Lineage: Eukaryota; Viridiplantae; Streptophyta; Magnoliopsida; Lamiales; Lamiaceae.
AAGAGCAUAAAGCUCACUUGCCCAUGCUGCUUAUUGAAAACUUAAAGCUCACUUGUCCCUGUCAUUUGUAAAAGAACUUAAAGCUCACUUAUCCUCAUUGUUAAUUGAAGAGCUUAAAGCAUAAAGCUCACUUGUCCCUGCUGCAUAUUAAACAGCAUAAAGCUCGCGUGUCCCUAUGGCUUAUAGAAAAGCUUGAAGGUUAGUUGUCCCAGUCUCUUAUAGAAGAGUUUAAAGCUCACGCUCCCUGUUGCUUAUAAAAGAGAUUAAAAUAAUCUUGUCCAUGUCCCUAAUAGAACAACUUAAAGCUCACAUAAAAGAGCAUGUAGCUCACGUGUCCAUAUGGAUAUAAAAUAGCAUAAAGCUCAACGUUUCCUUCCCAUUUAUGAAAAAGCUUAGAGGUCACUUGUCCCUCUCGCUUAUAAAAGGGCUUAAAGCUCACGGGUCCCUGUUGUUUAAUAUAAGAGCUUAAAGCUCACUUUUCUCUGCCACUCGUAAAAGACCAUAAAGCUUACUUGCUCCUGCCGCUUAUAAAAGAGCGUAAAGCUCACUUGUCCCUGUCAUUUAUGAAAGAGUUUUAACGCUCACUUGUUCCCAUCAUUAAUUAAAGAGCUUGAAGCAUAACGCUCACUUGUCCCUGCUGCUUAUUAAAGAGCAUAAAGCCCACUUGUCCCUCUGGCUUAUGGAAAAGCUUAAAGGUUGCUUGUCCCUGUCUCCUAUAGAAGAGUUUAAAGCUCAUGUGUCCAUGUUGCUUAUAAAAGAGAUUAAUAUAAACUUGUCCAUGUCCCUACUAAAAUAACUUAAAGCUCACAUAAAAGAGCAUGACGCUCACGUGUCCCGAUGUUGAUUAUAAAAGAGCUUAAAGCUCACUUGUCCUCGUCGCUUGCAAAAGAGCUAAAGCUCACUUGUCCCCCCUCCCCCCGCGCUUAUAAAAGAACUUAAAAGCUCACUUGUCUCUGCCGCUUAUAGAAGAGCUCAAAGUUCUGGGGUCUGUGUAUAUAAAAGAGCUUAAAGCUCAUGUGUCCCGGUUGCUUAUAAAAGAGCUUAAAGCUCACUUGUCCCUCUCGUUUAUAAAAAAGAGCAUAAAGGUCACAUGUCUUUAUCGCUUCUUAAAGAGCUUAAAGCUCACUUGUCCCUAUGGCUUAUAAAAGAGCUUGAAGCUCAUUCGUCCUGCUGCUUAUAAAAGAGUAGGAAGCUCACGUGUCAAUGUGGCUCAUAAAAGAGCUUAAAGUUUGCUUGUCUCUGUAGCUUAUAAAAGGGCUUAAAGCUGAAAGCUCAUGUGUCCUAUUGGCUUAUAAAAGAGUUUAAAGCUCACGUGUCCCUUCUGUUCAUAAAAGAGUUUAGUGCUCAUGUGUCCCUCUUACUUACAAAAGAGCGCAAUGCUCAUGUGUCACUCCUAAGCAAGAGCUUAAUGCUCACAUGUCCCUGGUGCUUAUAAAAGAGCUUAAAGCUCAUGUGUCCCGGUUGCUUAUAAAAGUGCUUAACACUCACGUGUCCUUGCUUAAGAAAGAGUUUAAUGCUCAUAACCCAAUGAUUACGAAAUAGCUUGAUGAUCAUGUGUGAAAGCGCUUAAUGCUCAAAUGUCCCUGUUGCUUAUCUAAAAACUUUCUCGAGUGUCCCUGUUGCAUAUGAAAAGAGCUUAAUGCGCACGUAUCCCUCAGAGCUGAUGCUCACAUGUCCCUCAUGUGUCCCUGUGGCAUAUGAAAGAGCUUACAGCUCACUUGUCCCUAUCAAUUAUAAAAGUGCUUAAAGCUCACUUGUGCCUAUUCCUUAUUAAAGCGCCUAAAGCUUACGUGUUCCCUGUUGCUGAUAAAAGAGUUUCAAGUUUACUUGCCCCCAUCGCUUAUAAAAGAGCUUAAAGCUCACAUAAAAUAGCAUGAAGCUCACUUGUCCUUGUGAAUUAUAAAAGAGUUUAGAGCUCACUUGUCGGUGUCGCUUAUAAAAGAGCUUAAAGCUCACUUGUCCCUCCCACUUAUACAAGAGCAUAAAGCUCACGUGUCCUGGUUGCUUGUAAAAUAGCUUAUAGCUGACUUGUCCCUCUCUCUCGCUCUCUUAUAAAAGAGCUUAAACCUCACGUCUCCCUGUCACUUAUGAAAGAGCAUUCAGCUCACUUGUCUAUGUCACUUAUAAAGAGCUCAAAGCUCAUGUGUCUAUGUCCCUUAUAAAAGAGCAUGAAGCGCACGUGUCUCUGUGGCCUAUAAAAGAGCUUAAAGCUCACUUCUCCCUGUUGCUUAUCAAAGAGCUUAAAAGUUACUUGUCCCUCCCCAUUUGUAAAUGUCCCUGUCGUUUAUAAAAUUGCAUAUAGCUCAUGUGUCCUUGAUGCUUGUAAAAGAGCUUAAAGCUCACGUGUCUAUAUCGCUUAUAAAAGAGCUUAAAGCUCUAUAUCGCUUAUAAAAGGCUUAAAGCUCAUGUGUCUCUAUUGCUAAGGCUCAUGUGUCCCUAUUGUUUAUAAAAGAGCUUAACGGCACAGUUACUCUUGCUUAUAAAAGAGCUUAAUGCUCAUUUAUCCUAAUGAUUAUGAAGUAGCACAAUGCUUAUGAAAGAACUUGCUCAAAUGUCCAUGUUGCUUAUGAAAAGCGUCUAAUGCUCAGGUAUCACUCAUAGCUUGAUUCUCACAUGUCCCUACUGCUUAUGAAAGAGCUUAAAGCUCACUUAUCGUGUGGCUUAUGAAAGAGCCUAAAGCUCACUUGCCCUUGUUACUUAUAAAAUAGCAUAAAGCUCACUUGCCCAUGCUGCUUAUUGAAAAACUUUAAAGCUCACUUGUCCCUGUCAUUUGUAAAAGAACUUAAAGCUCACUUAUCCUCAUUGUUAAUUGAAGAGCUUAAAGAUAAAGCUCACUUAGGUCCCUCUGCAUAUUAAACACUAAAGCUCGCGUGUCCCUAUGGCUUAUAGAAAGCUUGAAGGUUAGUUGUCCCAGUCUCUUAUAAAAGAGUUUAAAGCUGACGCUCCCUGUUGCUUAUAAAAGAGAUUAAAAUAAUCUUGUCCAUGUCCCUAAUAGAACAUCUUAAAGUCACAUAAAAGAGAUGAGCUCACGUGUCCAUAUGGAUAUAAAAUAGCAUAAAGCUCAACGUUUCCUUCCCAUUUAUGAAAAAGCUUAGAGGUCACUUGUCUCUCUCGCUUAUAAAAGGGCUUAAAGCUCACGGGUCCCUGUUGUUUAAUAUAAGAGCUUAAAGUUCACCUUUCUCUGCCACUCGUAAAAGACCGUAAAGCUUACUUGCUCCUGCCGCUUAUAAAAGAGCGUAAAACUCACUUGUCCCUGUCAUUUAUGAAAGAGUUUUAACGAUCACUUGUUCCCAUCAUUAAUUAAAGAGCUUGAAGCAUAACGCUCACUUGUCCCUGCUGCUUAUUAAACAACAUAAAGCCCACUUGUCCCUCUGGCUUAUGGAAAAGCUUAAAGGUUGCUCGUCCCUGUCUCCUAUAGAAGAGUUUAAAGCUCAUGUGUCCAUGUUGCUACUAAAAUAACUUAAAGCUCACAUAACAGAGCAUGACGCUCACAUAUCCCGAUGUUGAUUAUAAAAGAGCUUAAAGCUCACUUGUCCUCGUCGCUUGCAAAAGAGCUUAAAGCUCACUUGUCCUCGUCGCUUGCAAAAGAGCUAAAGCUCACUUGUCCCCCAACGCCCCCGCUUAUAAAGAGCUUAAAAGCUCACUGUCUCUGC